RNAcentral lists this long non-coding RNA (968 nucleotides) under Equus caballus (horse). Its description in RNAcentral is "lncRNA (ENSECAG00000044511.1)". Lineage: Eukaryota; Metazoa; Chordata; Mammalia; Perissodactyla; Equidae. The record is from RNAcentral.
GGGAACUGGGUAGGGUCAGCUGGUGAUUUUUCUGCUUCACUCGGUGUGGACAGAAGGCAUUCAGUGUUAAUCAGCUGACUGACUAGGAGAGUCCAAGAUGGCGUCACUCACAUGUCUGGGGCCUUGUGGGGACGGCUAGAAGCCUGGGCUCAGCAGGGACUGUCCACUGAGUGCUUCCUUGUGGCCUGUCCGGCACGGAGGCCUUGGGGUAGUUAGAAUUCUCACAUGGCAGCUCAGAGCUCCAACAGUGAGUGUUCAGCAAACAAAGCAGACGCUGUAAGCCCCUUUAUGACAGCCUGGGACGUCAGCUGCUCUGUCAGUCGGGGCAGCCUCAAGCCUUCCCAGAUUCAAGUGAGCUUCGUGGGAGAUGUAGUGUAGAAUUCGUGGCCAUAUUUUCCUAUUGCCUCUUUACCCCACGGCUCUUCCAGAGAAAGUUUGCCCUGUGACCUGAGCCAGAACACACCCCAACCCUCUCUGGAGAGAAGCAGAGUCGGGGAAAGAAGAGAUUUCAUAGUGUGGACAGUGUUGGCUCUUCAGCGCCGAGGCCUCUCGAGCGUUGGUUUGCGUUUCUCACAGGCGGAGAGCACAGCAGGAAGGCCUGCUGCAGGAAGAGGAAGGACUUAAGGGGGAGGACUUCCAGGCAGGGAGGAGGUAGACAAGUCAGAGGAGGCUCCCAGAGGCUGUGUCCUUUUCUGCCUUUUGGCCUUUCUGAGAAUAGCAAGAUGGAGAUCUGAGCUUUUAGCUCCCAAGGUCCUGCCAGAUCCCAGAAAGCACAAAUCGGAGAUGGGCCAACCUAAGGGCUGUCUGCGAUGGCGGAUGAGGGAAGAUGGCCUUGCGACUUACUCACUCUGUUGGUUGCCUUUGCUGCUGACACCCAUCAGCUGCACUCUGCUUGCUCAUAGAACCCUGGUUUGGUUCAGGUCCCCGUGUGAGGACACAAUGCUGGGACUGCAGCUGCUAUCUAGACA